GNAAGUCGUACGCUUCUUUUUNNNCGGAGCUUGCUNNNACCGGAAAAAGAAGAGUGGCGAACGGGUGAGUAACACGUGGGUAACCUGCCCAUCAGAAGGGGAUAACACUUGGAAACAGGUGCUAAUACCGUAUAACAAUCGAAACCGCAUGGUUUUGAUUUGAAAGGCGCUUUCGGGUGUCGCUGAUGGAUGGACCCGCGGUGCAUUAGCUAGUUGGUGAGGUAACGGCUCACCAAGGCCACGAUGCAUAGCCGACCUGAGAGGGUGAUCGGCCACAUUGGGACUGAGACACGGCCCAAACUCCUACGGGAGGCAGCAGUAGGGAAUCUUCGGCAAUGGACGAAAGUCUGACCGAGCAACGCCGCGUGAGUGAAGAAGGUUUUCGGAUCGUAAAACUCUGUUGUUAGAGAAGAACAAGGAUGAGAGUAACUGUUCAUCCCUUGACGGUAUCUAACCAGAAAGCCACGGCUAACUACGUGCCAGCAGCCGCGGUAAUACGUAGGUGGCAAGCGUUGUCCGGAUUUAUUGGGCGUAAAGCGAGCGCAGGCGGUUUCUUAAGUCUGAUGUGAAAGCCCCCGGCUCAACCGGGGAGGGUCAUUGGNNNNUGGGAGACUUGAGUGCAGA
This 624-nucleotide ribosomal RNA is filed under the name Enterococcus durans. Its description in RNAcentral is "bacterial SSU rRNA". It matches the Rfam family "Bacterial small subunit ribosomal RNA", at positions 57 to 652 of the family's 1533-position model. The record is from RNAcentral. Lineage: Bacteria; Bacillati; Bacillota; Bacilli; Lactobacillales; Enterococcaceae.